UCGGAGCCGCCGACCCCAACAGCGAAACAACAGCUAUGAUCGAGGUGAUUCUUGUGUUAUAACAUAUAUAUGUUCUCAGCAAUCCAGGUAAGGCUGUUCUUUGCUCUGAACUCUGCAACGUGGCAUAAUACAAUAAUCCUGACCGCUCCUUCUGAAUAACGGAGUAGACUUAUCAGCAGAAAGUCUUGAACAAUAUGACCAUCUCUGCUUCUAAAAACGUUGUUAACUUCACUCCCUAUCCAUCUAGUUAGCACAAAGGUUUUUUGUGCUGCAAAAGCAAGGAUGGAGGCCUCGAAGGACCAUCAUUUUCUGUAGCUGGGAUGCAGAAGAGUACGGAUUGACAGGAUCAACUGAAUGGGUUGAAGAAAACAGGGAGAUGCUUUCCUCGAGGGGUGUUGCAUAUCUGAAUAUUGAUGUUUCAGAGUCGGUCCAGUUUUACUCCCAUCUACAACUCCCCAACUUGAUGAACUACUAAUGGAAUCAAUUAAAAUGGAAAGAGUACUAACUGAUAGUCAGUUAUUUGGUUUUGGUCAUA
This is a non-coding RNA of Triticum urartu, 535 nucleotides long. The record is from RefSeq and is a predicted model, not a curated record. NCBI's taxonomy places the organism in Eukaryota, Viridiplantae, Streptophyta, Magnoliopsida, Poales, Poaceae.